Molecule: long non-coding RNA, 3825 nt
Filed under: Mus musculus (house mouse)
Lineage: Eukaryota; Metazoa; Chordata; Mammalia; Rodentia; Muridae
Description: long non-coding RNA chr13:32338818-32342643
Source: RNAcentral
GAGGAAGGAUGUAAGUCUGCGGUCAGAGUAGAGGAUAUGGCCUGCAUGGGCCUCGGUCUCCGGGAAUCCUCAUAUCGCCCCAUGAUGCCAGGAGGAAUGACGAGCUGACCUUCUCGGUAGGAAAGAGCUCUGAAAUCCAAAUCUAGGUAUCCAAGGCUGGAGUCAUCGACCUUAUUAAAUUUCUAGAAAUCUGCUUCAUUGUCUUUGUGAGCAGGUCAGUUUUAACAUUUCUCGAAGGCACUAGAGUUUCAAGGCUACUCUAACCUGUGAAUCUUCUGUGAACAUUAGCAGUUUGCUAAUGUUUGGACUAGUUUGGGGGUUCCCGGUAAUUCCGUUCAAGGAACAGUAUUUACUUCGAGGGCUGGAAGUUUCUGGCCCCGCCCCCAUCCUGCAUAAGGAAACAAUUGACAAAAAUCCACAGGUCAGUAAAACCUGUACAAAUUUCAUGAGGUGGGGUUGUUGCAGUGUCUUUUGAACUUGUUUCUAUUUAGUGCAUGCACACUGACAGAUUCACUGACUGAGAAAGGCUGACAAAGGACUCAGACAUAGGGACAAGGGUGUAGGGAAGAAACACACACACAUACACACGUACACACAUACUGUCCAGCUUAUCUCUCCAAUAAACAUCCUCAAACCGUCUUUCCCUUUGCAAACUGAGCUACUAGGACAGGGCCCAAUAGAACCUGCUAGAUAUGAUACAAACCUGUAGUUCCAAAACCAGAGUGCCCAAACUCCUCGGAAACAUUCCAAACUUUAUACAUAGGCUUGUCUGGUUUAAUAUUUUUACCUUUCCUCUAGCGCAUUCUAUAUGGAAAAUGAGACCUAGAAGUUGGGGAAAUAUAUUCCUUAAGGCAAGAAAUGUCUAAAAUCUAGAUGAUCUUUAACUAUUGAUUUAGUUUUAUGUAAAUAUGUUGUAAUGUAAGGAUAAAUAGAAAAAAAUGAAUACUUAGGAGAGAUAUGUCCCAUUUGUUCUGUAGGUCUGACACCUUCUAUCAUACUAAUGAAUACUAGGAAUUUAUCUGUCUAGUAAAAAAUUUAACAGAAAAAAAUCAUAAAAAUCAAAUAUGUAUUGGAUGUGCUGAGCUAUGGCUUGGUGGUAAAGCACUUGCCUAAUGGGAUUGAUGCCCAAUAGUACAAAAGUAAACAAAUAAAACCAAUAUUUUUUAGGGCCUGGAAAUGCAAAAAUAGUAAAGAAGAUAUUGCAAACUGUCAGAAAUAAAAAACUGUGUCCCUUAAACAUCCAACCGGUAUUUCCUUUAUUACCAUCCUAGAAUCUGGAUAUUCAAGAUCGGGGUUGACUUCCUCUGAGGCCUGUCUCCUGGCUUGUAGAUGUCACCUUGCAUCUGGUCAUGACACACUUCCUCUCCAUGUGCUUGCGUUCCAAUUUCCUAUUGUAAGGACAGUGACUCCCUUUCAUUAGGAACCACCCUAAUGACCCCACAUUACCUUAAUUUCCAUUUAAAGACCAUAGCUCCCAGCCAGCCAGAUGGCCUGGUAGGUAAAGGCGCUUGCCAUCCUGAAUCUAAUACCUAUACCCACAUACUGGGAGGAGAGAAUGAAGUCCUACAAGCUCUCCUCGGCCACACAUUUAAAAGAAAAAAAUAGUAAACAAAGUAAUUAAAAAUAAAAGGUAUCCAAUUACCAAUUACUUUUUGUUUUAAUUAUUUUUAUAAAGUUUUUUGUUUUGUGAUUUUGGUUAUUUAUUUAUUUAUUUAUUUAUGGUUUCCUUUGUUUUAUUUUUAGACAGGGUCUCAUGUAGCCCAGGGCUGCUGGCCUGCAAUUCAUUAUAUAGCCAAGAAUGACUUUAAGUUUCUUUCCCCCUGCCCCUACCUCUUGCUUACUCAAAUUAUAUGCAUGGACCACUACACCAUGCUUAUGUGGUUCCAGGGAUCAAACCAAGGAUAUUGUAUAUACUAAACAAAUACUGUACCAACUAAACUAUAGCCCCCCCCCAUUGCCUUUUUUUAAAGACUCAGUCUUGAGGUGAUGAAGUCUUACACUUCAAUAUAUGAAAUAAUAGAGAGACACAAUACAUCUCCUUACAGACAAAGGGGAAAGACUUUUCUUGUUGGUUUGGUUUGGAAGCAUGGAAGACAGUUGGUAGUGGGCAUCAUUGUAAUUCCCCAGUAACCUUAGGGGAAUGUGUGCAGUCAGCAUAGGGACUGGACAACAUGAGAUUUCUAUUAGCCAGAGGGAGAGUGCUAGUGUAGCAUAGUAAUUCAUAACUGUAGGAGACUUCGUAACCUAGAAGACAUUUGACACUUUUUACUGUAACACUAUUGAUAUUUAAUGAUUAAAGAGUGAAUGGGUCUGUUGCUGAACAUCCUAUGAUUACCAGCCCAGCUGACUCAUCGUAUCAAUACAGUCUGUUCUCUAUAUCCUUUUAACUUGCAUCCAAUCAACCAAAUUUGCAUUGUUUACCAUGAAGUUAGCACUACAGCGCUUGUGGUGGUCAGUCUUAUUUUAAUUACAUAUUUUUAUUUUUGUGUAGGGUGGGAGUGCCUGGAACACAGGGUGCUCCUGUAGAGGUCAGAGGACAAGGUCAGCUCUUUUCUUCUCCCAUGUAAGGUCCAGGGAUUGAACUCAGGUUGUCAGGCUUGGCAGUGAAUGUCUUCCUUAAACCAACUGGCCGGUCGAUCCUGUGAUGAUUGAUCUUGUCACCUCGAUUAGAUCUGGAAUCACUCUAAAAGAUUUGCUUCUAGGCAGGUCUAUGAGGGCAUUUCCAGGAAAGGUCAGUUGAAUAGAGAAGACCCUCCCCCAUAGUGUGUGGCACCUUUCAGCCACCAUCCAGAUGUAAAGAACUCCACAGAAAAAGCAGUGCUACUUUGCCUGACACCUUAGGUGGGAAUUACUGAGGCAUCCAGCUUCAUGGACUGAACAGUUAGCAGGUUCUCACCCCAUCCAGCAUGCAGAUGACCAUUGUAAGACUGCCUAGCCCCUAUCGCGUAUGCCUAUCUAAUAAAAUUAUUUCUAUCUUAUACAUCCAUUCUGUUCCUCUAGAAAUUGCUGACUAAUGAAAUGCUUGUGUCUGUAAAGAACAUAUAUGGGUAAUUCUCCUUUCAUUAUCCCCUAAAUAACACAUUGUGCCAACUACUUACACAGUGUUUAUGUUGUUUUAGGCAUUAUAACUCAUCUAAAAAUGAUGGAAAUGAUACAGGAGGAGGUGCAUAGGUUCUAAGCAGACACUGCACUACUUUAUACAAAAGAGUUGGACAUCUGUGAAUUUUGACAUUCAGCGGGAACUAAUAGGGAUGUAAGGGUAUUCUGGAACCAGUCUCCCUCUGAUGCUAAGAACCCAGUUUUGCAUGUGUGCAGUGGGAUAUGAGAUACUAAACAGUUCCAUCCCCCAGUCAAUGCCUUCUGCUAAACUUUCAUGACCACAGCUCUUCCUCCCACCCCUAUCUCUAACUCUUAAGCUACUCACCUGCUCUCCAUUUCUAAAAAUUUAUUAUUAGCAGAGUAUUUAUUAUAAAUGAAUCUUAGGGGUUGGCUUUUUCACUCAGGGUUCCCUGUUGUUAUGUUUAUUAGUAGUUUUUGUGGAACUUUGUCCUCUGUCAGCAAGAGACCCUGACAAGAUUGUCCACUAAUAUUCCCUAAUAAAGAGGAGGGAAAACUCACAUGUCCAAGCACAAGGGACUAAUGAGGCAGCACACUAGACACUUAAGUCUCCAACCUUCCUCAAAAUAUUUAAGCCAUUAAUUACUGUGGGAGUGGGGUGGUAGCUUUUCUUCAGUAAUGUAGCUGCCUAUAAGUUGUCCUUGUUCCUAUAAGUAACCUUUUACCCGUGCUCCUGUAAGUAACUUCAAAUAAAUUCAUACUUGGAUG